GAGGAAUAUUGGUCAAUGGACGCAAGUCUGAACCAGCCAAGUAGCGUGCAGGAUGACGGCCCUAUGGGUUGUAAACUGCUUUUAUGUGGGAAUAAAGUGGCGCACGUGUGCGCCAUUGCAUGUACCUCAUGAAUAAGGACCGGCUAAUUCCGUGCCAGCAGCCGCGGUAAUACGGAAGGUCCGGGCGUUAUCCGGAUUUAUUGGGUUUAAAGGGAGUGUAGGCGGUCUGUUAAGCGUGUUGUGAAAUUUAGGUGCUCAACAUUUAACUUGCAGCGCGAACUGUCAGACUUGAGUACACGCAGCGCAGGCGGAAUUCAUGGUGUAGCGGUGAAAUGCUUAGAUAUCAUGAGGAACUCCGAUCGCGAAGGCAGCCUGCGGGAGUGUUACUGACGCUUAAGCUCGAAGGUGCGGGUAUCGAACAGGAUUAGAUACCCUGGUAGUCCGCACAGUAAACGAUGGAUGCCCGCCGUUGGCGCCCCGCGCCUGCGGCCAAGCGAAAGCAUUAAGCAUCCCACCUGGGGAGUACGCCGGCAACGGUG
This 539-nucleotide ribosomal RNA is filed under the name uncultured bacterium. Its description in RNAcentral is "bacterial SSU rRNA". It matches the Rfam family "Bacterial small subunit ribosomal RNA", at positions 356 to 896 of the family's 1533-position model. The record is from RNAcentral.